GACGAACGCUGGCGGCGUGCUUAACACAUGCAAGUCGAACGGUAAGGCCCUUCGGGGUACACGAGUGGCGAACGGGUGAGUAACACGUGGGUGAUCUGCCCUGCACUUCGGGAUAAGCCUGGGAAACUGGGUCUAAUACCGGAUAGGACCACUGCCUGCAUGGGUGGUGGUGGAAAGCUUUUGCGGUGUGGGAUGGGCCCGCGGCCUAUCAGCUUGUUGGUGGGGUGAUGGCCUACCAAGGCGAAGACGGGUAGCGGGCCUGAGAGGGUGACGGGCCACACUGGGAAUGAGAUACGGCCCAGACUCCUACGGGAGGCAGCAGUGGGGAAUAUUGCACGGUGGGCGCAAGCCUGAUGCAGCGACGCCGCGUGAGGGAUGACGGCCUUCGGGUUGUAAACCUCUUUCAGCACCGACGAAGCGCAAGUGACGGUAGGUGCAGAAGAAGGACCGGCCAACUACGUGCCAGCCGCCGCCGUAA
Molecule: ribosomal RNA, 478 nt
Filed under: uncultured bacterium
Lineage: Bacteria
Description: partial 16S ribosomal RNA
Rfam family: Bacterial small subunit ribosomal RNA
Source: RNAcentral